GGGCACAUGGUGUAGCUGGUUAUCACGCUCGCUUUGCAUUAUAAGUUCAAUGAUUGCGAGUGGUCUCCGGUUCGAUUCCGGAUGUGUCCA
This 90-nucleotide transfer RNA is filed under the name Termitomyces sp. T159_Od127. RNAcentral's name for it is "tRNA-Ala". It matches the Rfam family "tRNA". From Rfam's summary of the family: Transfer RNA (tRNA) molecules are approximately 80 nucleotides in length. Their secondary structure includes four short double-helical elements and three loops (D, anti-codon, and T loops). Further hydrogen bonds mediate the characteristic L-shaped molecular structure. tRNAs have two regions of fundamental functional importance: the anti-codon, which is responsible for specific mRNA codon recognition, and the 3' end, to which the tRNAs corresponding amino acid is attached (by aminoacyl-tRNA synthetases). tRNAs cope with the degeneracy of the genetic code in two manners: having more than one tRNA (with a specific anti-codon) for a particular amino acid; and 'wobble' base-pairing, i.e. permitting non-standard base-pairing at the 3rd anti-codon position. The record is from RNAcentral. Lineage: Eukaryota; Fungi; Basidiomycota; Agaricomycetes; Agaricales; Lyophyllaceae.